Molecule: long non-coding RNA, 258 nt
Filed under: Lathyrus oleraceus (garden pea)
Lineage: Eukaryota; Viridiplantae; Streptophyta; Magnoliopsida; Fabales; Fabaceae
Description: Pisum sativum (pea) long non-coding RNA (PSAT_LNC001540)
Source: RNAcentral
GGAUCUGAACCGGAGCUCUAGAUACAAUUGUUGGUGCACAAGCUGAUAAAGAUGAACAAUGAACAAGAGAGAAGAGAGAUAAUAAUAACAAACUUCCACUACUCUUGAAAUGGUUACAAAAUGGUUGCACAGAUAAAAUGCACACAUACACACACUGCAAAAGGAAUAAGAGGUACAAUUUGUUCACACCACCCACUUGCUUAAAUAUAAGUGGGACUUUAGGGAAAUACUAUAUUACCCUAUAAAAAACUUUGUCUA